This 724-nucleotide long non-coding RNA is filed under the name Marmota monax (woodchuck). The record is from RNAcentral. Lineage: Eukaryota; Metazoa; Chordata; Mammalia; Rodentia; Sciuridae.
CUUCCCUGAACCCACCAACAUUCUCUUUCUUUUUAGAACCUCCAUAGCCCUUUACUGCCUAUGCCACUUAAUCAAACUCAGACUGAGUCAGUUUGGUUUGCUAUAACAAAACACCAGACACAGAAUGGCUUAUCAACCACAGACAAUUUUUUCUCAUGGUUCUGAGACCAGGCUGUCAGCAUGGGCAGGUUCUGUGAGGGCCCUAUUCAGAGCUGCAGAUGCACAUGUCCUUGGGCUGUCACUUGGCAGAAACACAAUGAAAGAGCUCUCUGCAGUUGCUUUUAAAAGGGCUUUAAUAUCAUUCAUGAGAGUUCCCCCCAUGGCCUAAUUUGUCACCCCUAAAAGCUCUGCCUUCUGGUACCAUCCCCUUGAGGGUUAGAAUUCACUCUUUGAAUCUGGGAGAUUGGAGUGAUGCAAAUAUUCAGUCCAUCUCACAGGCUGCCCUGAAUUCCUGGGGUUUGAAAAAUUCCAGGUCCCUCUGACCUUCCUCCUUGAUAUAAUUCCCUCUAUGCCUUUUUCCCUUAAACACAAACCAGGUCUGUCCCUUAAUUCUCAUAGUGAAGCUUCGUGUGGUCAGAUGGACUAACAAUGCAGCUGAGUAAUGCUAGGUACUGUUGGUCUCAGCCUCCUUAGCCCAAGCCCCUCUAAGCAGAGCCCUGCCCUGCCAUUUCUUGCCGAGCCCUCAUCUGUCUCCCAGCUGUGAUGCUCAACAUUUUUACUGCCC